This 208-nucleotide long non-coding RNA is filed under the name Populus tremula. RNAcentral's name for it is "long non-coding RNA (PTRE_LNC003352)". The record is from RNAcentral. Lineage: Eukaryota; Viridiplantae; Streptophyta; Magnoliopsida; Malpighiales; Salicaceae.
ACAAGCCCUCCUCUCUCAGCCGACCCACCGGUCUCCACCAACAGCAGCAACCCACAAGCCAGCAGACCCAGCUCACCGCCUCCAGCAGAGACGUCGGUGGCUCCAGCUCUGACCGACCCCUCGCCACCACCGGAAGCAGAGAAGAAGGCGAAACCGAGAAGAAGCAGAGGCGCAACGGAGAAGAAGAGACUGAGAGGCAGAUCCGAAA